GAUGAAGAACGUAGCGAAAUGCGAUAAGUAGUGUGAAUUGCAGAAUUCAGUGAAUCAUCGAAUCUUUGAACGCACAUUGCGCCCUUUGGUAUUCCAAAGGGCAUGCCUGUUCGAGCGUCAUUUGUACCCUCAAGCUUUGCUUGGUGUUGGGCGUCUUGUCUCUAGCUUUGCUGGAGACUCGCCUUAAAGUAAUUGGCAGCCGGCCUACUGGUUUCGGAGCGCAGCACAAGUCGCACUCUCUAUCAGCAAAGGUCUAGCAUCCAUUAAGCCUUUUUUUUCAACUUUUGACCUCGGAUCAGGUAGGGAUACCCGCUGAACUUAAGCAUAUCAAUAGCGGAGGA
This 341-nucleotide unclassified non-coding RNA is filed under the name soil metagenome. RNAcentral describes it as "partial contains 5.8S ribosomal RNA, internal transcribed spacer 2, and large subunit ribosomal RNA". The stretch from base 1 to 120 matches the Rfam family "5.8S ribosomal RNA", at positions 35 to 154 of the family's 154-position model. The record is from RNAcentral.